CCUACGUGAGGCUGCAGUGGGGAAUAUUGCACAAUGGGGGAAACCCUGAUGCAGCGACGCCGCGUGAGUGAAGAAGUAAUUCGUUAUGUAAAGCUCUAUCAGCAGGGAAGAAAAUGACGGUACCUGAGUAAGAAGCCCCGGCUAACUACGUGCCAGCAGCCGCGGUAAUACGUAGGGGGCAAGCGUUAUCCGGAUUUACUGGGUGUAAAGGGAGCGUAGACGGCAGUGCAAGUCUGGAGUGAAAGGCGGGGGCUCAACCCCCGGACUGCUCUGGAAACUGUACGGCUGGAGUGCAGGAGAGGUAAGUGGAAUUCCUAGUGUAGCGGUGAAAUGCGUAGAUAUUAGGAGGAAUACCAGUGGCGAAGGCGGCUUACUGGACUGUAACUGACGUUGAGGCUCGAAAGCGUGGGGAGCAAACAGGAUUAGAUACCCUAGUAGUC
This 440-nucleotide ribosomal RNA is filed under the name uncultured bacterium. RNAcentral describes it as "partial 16S ribosomal RNA". It matches the Rfam family "Bacterial small subunit ribosomal RNA", at positions 338 to 795 of the family's 1533-position model. The record is from RNAcentral.